Molecule: ribosomal RNA, 468 nt
Filed under: uncultured bacterium
Lineage: Bacteria
Description: partial 16S ribosomal RNA
Rfam family: Bacterial small subunit ribosomal RNA
Source: RNAcentral
GACGAACGCUGGCGGCGUGCUUAACACAUGCGAGUCGAACGGAAAGGCCCUGCUUUUGUGGGGUGCUCGAGUGGCGAACGGGUGAGUAACACGUGAGUAACCUGCCCUUGACUUUGGGAUAACUUCAGGAAACUGGGGCUAAUACCGGAUAGGAGCUCCUGCUGCAUGGUGGGGGUUGGAAAGUUUCGGCGGUUGGGGAUGGACUCGCGGCUUAUCAGCUUGUUGGUGGGGUAGUGGCUUACCAAGGCUUUGACGGGUAGCCGGCCUGAGAGGGUGACCGGCCACAUUGGGACUGAGAUACGGCCCAGACUCCUACGGGGGGCAGCAGUGGGGAACAUUGCACAAUGGGCGGAAGCCUGAGGCAGCAACGCCGCGUGCGGGAUGACGGCCUUCGGGUUGUAAACCGCUUUCGCCUGUGACGAAGCGUGAGUGACGGUAAUGGGUAAAGAAGCACCGGCUAACUACGUG